Molecule: non-coding RNA, 167 nt
Filed under: human gut metagenome
Description: Lysine riboswitch
Rfam family: Lysine riboswitch aptamer
About the family: Riboswitches are metabolite binding domains within certain messenger RNAs that serve as precision sensors for their corresponding targets. Allosteric rearrangement of mRNA structure is mediated by ligand binding, and this results in modulation of gene expression.
Source: RNAcentral
UGAGGUAGAGGUUGCGUAAAUCAAGAGUAUCAUAUCGUAUGUGUCAGGCACAGAAGAGGGUAUGAGAAAGGGAGGAGCGCCGAAGGAGAGAUAUGCCUGCACAUAUAUUUCCUGGGCAUAUGGCGAACAGCCAUAUGACUGUCACCAUAAGGUGGAGAGCUACUGGU